GCGAGUAUAACUCAGUUAGGUUAGAGUGCUAGGUUGUGAUUCUAGUUGUCAUGGGUUCAAAUCCCAUUAUUCGCC
RNAcentral lists this transfer RNA (75 nucleotides) under Thalassiosira oceanica. It matches the Rfam family "tRNA". Rfam says of the family: Transfer RNA (tRNA) molecules are approximately 80 nucleotides in length. The record is from Rfam by way of RNAcentral. Lineage: Eukaryota; Bacillariophyta; Thalassiosirophyceae; Thalassiosirales; Thalassiosiraceae.